GGUCGGGUCCUGUGCAACGGAUGCCCGAGAAUCAGGUCAGAUCCGGAAGGAAGCAGCCUUCAUCGGUCGCUGAAGUGUGCCGCAGAUCGCCUGGCCGUC
Molecule: signal recognition particle RNA, 99 nt
Filed under: Ilumatobacteraceae bacterium
Lineage: Bacteria; Bacillati; Actinomycetota; Acidimicrobiia; Acidimicrobiales; Ilumatobacteraceae
Description: signal recognition particle sRNA small type
Rfam family: Bacterial small signal recognition particle RNA
About the family: The signal recognition particle (SRP) is a universally conserved ribonucleoprotein involved in the co-translational targeting of proteins to membranes. Archaeal SRP consists of a 7S RNA and homologues of the eukaryotic SRP19 and SRP54 proteins.
Source: RNAcentral